UUUGGACGAGGGGCCCCUCUCGGGUUACCGAAUUCAGACAAACUCCGAAUGCCAAUUAAUUUAACUUGGGAGUCAGAACAUGGGUGAUAAGGUCCGUGUUCGAAAGGGAAACAGCCCAGACCACCAGCUAAGGUCCCAAAAUAUAUGUUAAGUGGAAAAGGAUGUGGCGUUGCCCAGACAACUAGGAUGUUGGCUUAGAAGCAGCCAUCAUUUAAAGAGUGCGUAAUAGCUCACUAGUCGAGUGACACUGCGCCGAAAAUGUACCGGGGCUAAACAUAUUACCGAAGCUGUGGAUUGUCCUUUGGACAAUGGUAGGAGAGCGUUCUAAGGGCGUUGAAGCAUGAUCGUAAGGACAUGUGGAGCGCUUAGAAGUGAGAAUGCCGGUGUGAGUAGCGAAAGACGGGUGAGAAUCCCGUCCACCGAUUGACUAAGGUUUCCAGAGGAAGGCUCGUCCGCUCUGGGUUAGUCGGGUCCUAAGCUGAGGCCGACAGGCGUAGGCGAUGGAUAACAGGUUGAUAUUCCUGUACCACCUAUAAUCGUUUUAAUCGAUGGGGGGACGCAGUAGGAUAGGCGAAGCGU
Molecule: ribosomal RNA, 579 nt
Filed under: Staphylococcus aureus
Lineage: Bacteria; Bacillati; Bacillota; Bacilli; Caryophanales; Staphylococcaceae
Description: partial 23S ribosomal RNA
Rfam family: Bacterial large subunit ribosomal RNA
Source: RNAcentral